GAUGAACGCUGGCGGCGUGCCUAAUACAUGCAAGUCGAGCGAACGGACGAGAAGCUUGCUUCUCUGAUGUUAGCGGCGGACGGGUGAGUAACACGUGGAUAACCUACCUAUAAGACUGGGAUAACUUCGGGAAACCGUAGCUAAUACCGGAUAAUAUUUUGAACCGCAUGGUUCAAAAGUGAAAGACGGUCUUGCUGUCACUUAUAGAUGGAUCCGCGCUGCAUUAGCUAGUUGGUAAGGUAACGGCUUACCAAGGCAACGAUGCAUAGCCGACCUGAGAGGGUGAUCGGCCACACUGGAACUGAGACACGGUCCAGACUCCUACGGGAGGCAGCAGUAGGGAAUCUUCCGCAAUGGGCGAAAGCCUGACGGAGCAACGCCGCGUGAGUGAUGAAGGUCUUCGGAUCCUAAAACUCUGUUAUUAGGGAAGAACAUAUGUGUAAGUAACUGUGCACAUCUUGACGGUACCUAAUCAGAAAGCCACGGCUAACUACGUG
Molecule: ribosomal RNA, 497 nt
Filed under: uncultured bacterium
Lineage: Bacteria
Description: partial 16S ribosomal RNA
Rfam family: Bacterial small subunit ribosomal RNA
Source: RNAcentral